UUGUACAAAAACCUACAUAGCUGUAAUGAAAAACAUAAAAUGGGUGCAACAAUUAGGAACAGAGUGUCAUAACAGAACACAAUUGUAAUUAUGACAUUUUUAUGUGACUUUGGAUUAAAUGACAGUAAACAAGCAACUGAAACGAUGAAACAAGCCUUGGAGAUUGUUUUUGCGAUUGGCUAUUCGAGCCUCUGUUGCAAUAGAUAACCAGUGUGUCUUGCACCUUAGUAAAAGCAUUACCAAAAACCCACUCAUAUGGAACUUGCUCUGUGGAACAAUACUUGCUGGCCAUCUCUUCCUUUUCAGAUGGAAACUUUACAUCAAACACACGUGUUGAUUUUAUUACAGCAAAUAAUUGAAGGUCGAAGACUCGGAGCAGCCAACCCCCACCCCUUUUCGUAGCAUAUAUCAGGAUAUCCCUCUAUCUGAGAAAUUAGAAAUCUGAUAAAGAAAGAAAACGAUGCCAUAGGCCAUUUUAUUUAACCAUCAGUCUAUCACAAUAUAAACCAAGACAUCAAAUUAGGAACAGAGUGUCAUAUAAACCCACCUUUAACUUCAUUCGAAGGGAAUGAACUGGAUGGCUAGUGUUCUCGCAGUGCAUCUUUUCAUUGAUCUCUCUUUAUCAAGAGGAAU
RNAcentral lists this long non-coding RNA (633 nucleotides) under Zea mays. Its description in RNAcentral is "long non-coding RNA (ZMAY_LNC001468)". Lineage: Eukaryota; Viridiplantae; Streptophyta; Magnoliopsida; Poales; Poaceae. The record is from RNAcentral.